RNAcentral lists this ribosomal RNA (1707 nucleotides) under Salmonella enterica. Its description in RNAcentral is "partial 23S ribosomal RNA". It matches the Rfam family "Bacterial large subunit ribosomal RNA", at positions 1252 to 2925 of the family's 2925-position model. The record is from RNAcentral. RNAcentral also lists the same sequence under 1 other name. Lineage: Bacteria; Pseudomonadati; Pseudomonadota; Gammaproteobacteria; Enterobacterales; Enterobacteriaceae.
GAAGGUGGCCUGUGAGGGUUGCUGGAGGUAUCAGAAGUGCGAAUGCUGACAUAAGUAACGAUAAAGCGGGUGAAAAGCCCGCUCGCCGGAAGACCAAGGGUUCCUGUCCAACGUUAAUCGGGGCAGGGUGAGUCGACCCCUAAGGCGAGGCCGAAAGGCGUAGUCGAUGGGAAACGGGUUAAUAUUCCCGUACUUGGUGUUACUGCGAAGGGGGGACGGAGAAGGCUAUGUUGGCCGGGCGACGGUUGUCCCGGUUUAAGCGUGUAGGUGUGUGUUCCAGGUAAAUCCGGUUCACUUUAACACUGAGGCGUGACGACGAGGCACUACGGUGCUGAAGCAACAAAUGCCCUGCUUCCAGGAAAAGCCUCUAAGCAUCAGGUAACAUCAAAUCGUACCCCAAACCGACACAGGUGGUCAGGUAGAGAAUACCAAGGCGCUUGAGAGAACUCGGGUGAAGGAACUAGGCAAAAUGGUGCCGUAACUUCGGGAGAAGGCACGCUGACAUGUAGGUGAAGUGAUUUACUCAUGGAGCUGAAGUCAGUCGAAGAUACCAGCUGGCUGCAACUGUUUAUUAAAAACACAGCACUGUGCAAACACGAAAGUGGACGUAUACGGUGUGACGCCUGCCCGGUGCCGGAAGGUUAAUUGAUGGGGUCAGCGCAAGCGAAGCUCCUGAUCGAAGCCCCGGUAAACGGCGGCCGUAACUAUAACGGUCCUAAGGUAGCGAAAUUCCUUGUCGGGUAAGUUCCGACCUGCACGAAUGGCGUAAUGAUGGCCAGGCUGUCUCCACCCGAGACUCAGUGAAAUUGAACUCGCUGUGAAGAUGCAGUGUACCCGCGGCAAGACGGAAAGACCCCGUGAACCUUUACUAUAGCUUGACACUGAACAUUGAGCCUUGAUGUGUAGGAUAGGUGGGAGGCUUUGAAGUGUGGACGCCAGUCUGCAUGGAGCCGACCUUGAAAUACCACCCUUUAAUGUUUGAUGUUCUAACGUGGACCCGUGAUCCGGGUUGCGGACAGUGUCUGGUGGGUAGUUUGACUGGGGCGGUCUCCUCCUAAAGAGUAACGGAGGAGCACGAAGGUUGGCUAAUCCUGGUCGGACAUCAGGAGGUUAGUGCAAUGGCAUAAGCCAGCUUGACUGCGAGCGUGACGGCGCGAGCAGGUGCGAAAGCAGGUCAUAGUGAUCCGGUGGUUCUGAAUGGAAGGGCCAUCGCUCAACGGAUAAAAGGUACUCCGGGGAUAACAGGCUGAUACCGCCCAAGAGUUCAUAUCGACGGCGGUGUUUGGCACCUCGAUGUCGGCUCAUCACAUCCUGGGGCUGAAGUAGGUCCCAAGGGUAUGGCUGUUCGCCAUUUAAAGUGGUACGCGAGCUGGGUUUAGAACGUCGUGAGACAGUUCGGUCCCUAUCUGCCGUGGGCGCUGGAGAACUGAGGGGGGCUGCUCCUAGUACGAGAGGACCGGAGUGGACGCAUCACUGGUGUUCGGGUUGUCAUGCCAAUGGCACUGCCCGGUAGCUAAAUGCGGAAGAGAUAAGUGCUGAAAGCAUCUAAGCACGAAACUUGCCCCGAGAUGAGUUCUCCCUGAGACUUUAAGUCUCCUGAAGGAACGUUGAAGACGACGACGUUGAUAGGCCGGGUGUGUAAGCGCAGCGAUGCGUUGAGCUAACCGGUACUAAUGAACCGUGAGGCUUAACCUUACAACGCCGAAG